This 557-nucleotide small RNA is filed under the name uncultured Fusobacterium sp. Its description in RNAcentral is "bacterial SSU rRNA". The stretch from base 1 to 341 matches the Rfam family "Bacterial small subunit ribosomal RNA", at positions 1194 to 1533 of the family's 1533-position model. Lineage: Bacteria; Fusobacteriati; Fusobacteriota; Fusobacteriia; Fusobacteriales; Fusobacteriaceae. The record is from RNAcentral.
CAUGCCCCUUAUACGCUGGGCUACACACGUGCUACAAUGGGUAGAACAGAGAGUUGCAAAGCCGUGAGGUGGAGCUAAUCUCAGAAAACUAUUCUUAGUUCGGAUUGUACUCUGCAACUCGAGUACAUGAAGUUGGAAUCGCUAGUAAUCGCGAAUCAGCAAUGUCGCGGUGAAUACGUUCUCGGGUCUUGUACACACCGCCCGUCACACCACGAGAGUUGGUUGCACCUGAAGUAGCAGGCCUAACCGUAAGGAGGGAUGCUCCGAGGGUGUGAUUAGCGAUUGGGGUGAAGUCGUAACAAGGUAUCCGUACGGGAACGUGCGGAUGGAUCACCUCCUUUCUAAGGAGUAUAAGUCUUUCUCUAUUCUAUUGGUAAUGUUCUUUACAUUACUUCUGAACAUUGGAAACUAUAUAGUAGAACAAACAAGAAAAAAAUUAACUCUAACAAUUUCUUAGAGUUAGCUGUCAAAAAAUAGAUUAAAAUAAUUAAGGGCACACAAAGGAUGCCUAGGUAGUAAGAGCCGAUAAAGGACGUGGUAAGCUGCGAUAAGCCUAG